RNAcentral lists this ribosomal RNA (523 nucleotides) under uncultured bacterium. Its description in RNAcentral is "bacterial SSU rRNA". It matches the Rfam family "Bacterial small subunit ribosomal RNA", at positions 356 to 896 of the family's 1533-position model. The record is from RNAcentral.
GGGGAAUAUUGCACAAUGGGGGAAACCCUGAUGCAGCGACGCCGCGUGAGUGAAGAAGUAUUUCGGUAUGUAAAGCUCUAUCAGCAGGGAAGAUAAUGACAGUACCUGACUAAGAAGCCCCGGCUAACUACGUGCCAGCAGCCGCGGUAAUACGUAGGGGGCAAGCGUUAUCCGGAUUUACUGGGUGUAAAGGGAGCGUAGACGGAGUGGCAAGUCUGAAGUGAAAACCCUGGGCUUAACCUGGGGACUGCUUUGGAAACUGUUAAUCUAGAGUGUUGGAGAGGUAAGUGGAAUUCCUGGUGUAGCGGUGAAAUGCGUAGAUAUCAGGAAGAACACCGGAGGCGAAGGCGGCUUACUGGACAAUAACUGACGUUGAGGCUCGAAAGCGUGGGGAUCAAACAGGAUUAGAUACCCUGGUAGUCCACGCUGUAAACGAUGAAUACUAGGUGUCGGGGAGCAAAGCUUCUCGGUGCCGUCGCAAACGCAAUAAGUAUUCCACCUGGGGAGUACGUUCGCAAGAAUG